GCUCGCAAGAGAGCCGUAACACAGGUGCUGCAUGGCUGUCGUCAGCUCGUGUCGUGAGAUGUUGGGUUAAGUCCCGCAACGAGCGCAACCCUUGUCGUUAGUUGCCAGCAUUCAGUUGGGAACUCUAACGAGACUGCCGUGGUUAACACGGAGGAAGGUGGGGAUGACGUCAAGUCCUCAUGGCCUUUAUGCUUAGGGCUACACGCGUGCUACAAUGCAUUCUACAGAGGGCUGCUAAACCGCAAGGUCACGCCAAUCCCACAAAAGAAUGCUAAGUUCAGAUUGGAGUCUGCAACUCGAC
RNAcentral lists this ribosomal RNA (301 nucleotides) under uncultured bacterium. RNAcentral's name for it is "bacterial SSU rRNA". It matches the Rfam family "Bacterial small subunit ribosomal RNA", at positions 1014 to 1316 of the family's 1533-position model. The record is from RNAcentral.